ACCUACAGAAGAAGCACCGGCUAACUCCGUGCCAGCAGCCGCGGUAAUACGGAGGGUGCGAGCGUUAAUCGGAAUUACUGGGCGUAAAGCGCAUGCAGGCGGCCUGUUAAGUCAGAUGUGAAAGCCCGGGGCUUAACCUCGGAAUUGCAUUUGAAACUGGCAGGCUAGAGUCUUGUAGAGGGGGUAGAAUUUCAGGUGUAGCGGUGAAAUGCGUAGAGAUCUGAAGGAAUACCAGUGGCGAAGGCGGCCCCCUGGACAAAGACUGACGCUCAGAUGCGAAAGCGUGGGGAGCAAACAGGAUUAGAUACCCUGGUAG
Molecule: ribosomal RNA, 316 nt
Filed under: uncultured bacterium
Lineage: Bacteria
Description: bacterial SSU rRNA
Rfam family: Bacterial small subunit ribosomal RNA
Source: RNAcentral